This is a long non-coding RNA of Oryzias melastigma (Indian medaka), 292 nucleotides long. RefSeq lists it as uncharacterized. The transcript is spliced from 3 exons. The record is from RefSeq and is a predicted model, not a curated record. Lineage: Eukaryota; Metazoa; Chordata; Actinopteri; Beloniformes; Adrianichthyidae.
CUCUAAAAGCACUCUGUGUGGGGAAGAUGAGAGCCAGAGCAAAGCUCAGAGGAACCAACCUGGACCUGGAUCUGGAUCUGGACCUGGAUCUGGAUCCAGCUGUGUGUCCUUCAGGAGUGACGACUCAAAGGGUUUACCUCCUAACUUCAAAUCCACCAGUUCAGGAGUGGAACAGUUCCAACAGAGAUCUGGAUCUGGAUCUGGAUCCAGCUGUGUGUCCAAAAGGAGUGAUGACUCAAAGGGUCUUCCUCCAAACUUCAAGUCCAUCAGUCCAGCAGUGGAACAGUAAGUG